GAUGAACGCUGGCGGAGUGCCUAACACAUGCAAGUCGAGCGGCAGCGCGAGUAGUUUACUACUUGGCGGCGAGCGGCGGACGGCUGAGUAACGCGUGGGAACAUGCCCCCAAAGUGAGGAAUAACUGCCCGAAAGGGUAGCUAAUGCCGCAUACGAUCUUCGGAUUAAAGGAUUUAUCCGCUUUGGGAGUGGCCUGCGUACGAUUAGAUAGUUGGUGAGGUAAUGGCUCACCAAGUCUACGAUCGUUAACUGGUUUGAGAGGAUGAUCAGUCAGACUGGAACUGAGACACGGUCCAGACUCCUACGGGAGGCAGCAGUGAGGAAUCUUCCACAAUGGACGAAAGUCUGAUGGAGCAACUCCGCGUGCAGGAUGAAGGCCUUCGGUCGU
This 388-nucleotide ribosomal RNA is filed under the name uncultured bacterium. RNAcentral describes it as "bacterial SSU rRNA". It matches the Rfam family "Bacterial small subunit ribosomal RNA", at positions 28 to 426 of the family's 1533-position model. The record is from RNAcentral.